RNAcentral lists this ribosomal RNA (429 nucleotides) under Acidobacteriota bacterium. RNAcentral describes it as "Acidobacteria bacterium partial 16S ribosomal RNA". It matches the Rfam family "Bacterial small subunit ribosomal RNA", at positions 355 to 776 of the family's 1533-position model. The record is from RNAcentral. Lineage: Bacteria; Pseudomonadati; Acidobacteriota.
UGGGGAAUUUUGGACAAUGGGCGAAAGCCUGAUCCAGCAAUGCCGCGUGUGUGAAGAAGGCCUUCGGGUUGUAAAGCACUUUUGUCCGGAAAGAAAUGGCUCUGGUUAAUACCUGGGGUCGAUGACGGUACCGGAAGAAUAAGGACCGGCUAACUACGUGCCAGCAGCCGCGGUAAUACGUAGGGUCCAAGCGUUAAUCGGAAUUACUGGGCGUAAAGCGUGCACAGGCGGUUGUGCAAGACCGAUGUGAAAUCCCCGAGCUUAACUUGGGAAUUGCAUUGGUGACUGCACGGCUAGAGUGUGUCAGAGGGGGGUAGAAUUCCACGUGUAGCAGUGAAAUGCGUAGAAAUGUGGAGGAAUACCGAUGGCGAAGGCAGCCCCCUGGGAUAACACUGACGCUCAUGCACGAAAGCGUGGGGAGCAAACAGG